Molecule: long non-coding RNA, 563 nt
Filed under: Piliocolobus tephrosceles (Ugandan red Colobus)
Lineage: Eukaryota; Metazoa; Chordata; Mammalia; Primates; Cercopithecidae
Description: lncRNA (ENSPTEG00000033435.1)
Source: RNAcentral
AGCGUGGCUAGGGGCGGAGCGACUGCCGCGCGGUAGUCAGGGAGCUGUGCGGGUCCUGGUUGCAAGAGAGUCUGUUUGCCAGCCAACCCCAGCCCGGGAGGGGAUCAGGGCCACCAGGUUGCUGGAAGGAUUAAAGGACUGGAGGGCAUCAUAAACAUGAAGAAAAAUGUGGGAGAAUAUGAUAAUUGAAAGAAGAAGAGUUUGUGGUCAAAGGGAGAGAUUAAAGAUGUGCAACUUCAGAUUUCCUGGACCUGCCUACCAUCCUGAUCACAGACGUAGAAGGACCAGGUCAGUACCAGACUUUGGGGUCAAAUAAUGUAUAUUAUUUCUUGUAGAAACCUUGUGCUGCUGAGACUAAAUGAGGGGAAAAGGUCUGUCACUCUUGCUUUCUAUUGUUGGUCAUCUCCACGUUCAUUGGCUAAGUGAACUCAAUUUGACUCUAAGUAUCUGAUCAUAUAUCUGUUCUAAGCAUUCUAUUUUGGUGUAUACCCUAGGUUUUUGUUUCUAUGCCUGAUUUUUCCAAUUUUAAUAAAAACAGUUACUUGCUGAGGACUAGUUAAUUC